RNAcentral lists this ribosomal RNA (320 nucleotides) under uncultured eukaryote. RNAcentral's name for it is "partial 18S ribosomal RNA". It matches the Rfam family "Eukaryotic small subunit ribosomal RNA", at positions 1470 to 1796 of the family's 1831-position model. The record is from RNAcentral.
CCCCUAGAUGUUCUGGGCCGCACGCGCGCUACACUGAACAGUUCAACAAGUCUUAACCUUGGCCGAUAGGUCUGGGUAAUCUUUGAACGCUGUUCGUGAUUGGGAUAGACCUUUGCAAUUAUGGGUCUUCAACGAGGAAUUCCUAGUAAACGCAAGUCAUCAGCUUGCAUUGAUUACGUCCCUACCCUUUGUACACACCGCCCGUCGCACCUACCGAUUGAAUGGUCCGGUGAAAUCUCGGGACGGCGGCUUGGUCGCUUGCGUCCGACUGCUGAAACUUGAUUAAACCAUNUNAUUUAUNGGAAGGUGAANUCGUANCA